RNAcentral lists this long non-coding RNA (1511 nucleotides) under Helianthus annuus (common sunflower). RNAcentral's name for it is "hypothetical non coding rna". Lineage: Eukaryota; Viridiplantae; Streptophyta; Magnoliopsida; Asterales; Asteraceae. The record is from RNAcentral.
GACCAUUUCUUUCUCUCGAUUGCCCCCUCUCUCUUUCCAUAAAUCCCUAUUUUUAUUUCCUUUAAAUAUUUCUUUUCCCUAUCCUAUUUUAAGUAUUGAAACUCCCAAACACCGCUACCCUUUCCGAUUGAUCUGAGUCCCAUAACGCAUGUCAAGGCUCUGCCCGACUAAGUUCGUUUGGAUUCUGUCUCGGGACUUUGGGACAAGGUUAAAUUAGGGGUACUAUACUUAACACGAGUAUAUUAUAUAUAUAUUUUUAGCCCAAAGGUUAUACCCAAAAUUUAUACCAGGAGUCCUUCUAAUUGAACCCUAAAGUUACACAGUGGGUCCAUUCCUUUUCUCACCAUUUUAUUCUCUUUCUGGUAAGUUACCCAAACUAUUAUUUAUUAUUUAUUAUUUAUUAUUUCUAUUUUGUAACCAAACUUUCAUCAAAAGUCAUGCCUAUUAUUUUAUUUACCCAAUAGGGAACCAUAGUUGAGACACCCAAGUAAACCUGCACAAAUCCUAAAAUUUUCAUAACAAUCAGAAUCAGGAUCAGAGCCCCUAAAACUCAAGGGGGGCAAAACCCUAGUUACGAUUAUCUUCAUAACUGAUUAUAAAAUUCGAAAAUUUAAAAUCUGUCGACACAGCAAGCCUACAUGCACGAAGGGCUACCCUAUGAAAAUAGGUUGAUCACUCGCGUAGCGCGACGACUAAGGGGUACCCCCUCGCGCUACGCGACGGUGUCAAAAUUUCAGUAUAAAUAGCAGGGGUUGGGACUUGAAUUUUGGCAUUUGAACGACGAAAAUCGGAGUUACGUAAGUCAAGUUAUAAGCAAAACAGUCCAACACACACACACAAUUAUCGAAUCGCUGCCGCAAAACAGGGUAAUUAGUCGAUCGCUAUUACGAUUCAGUUUCCGGGAUCAAUAUACCCAAAGAAUGUCUAAGUGCCGCCCACAUUGGGCUAUGCUUUAUCGUUGUCGAUAAUUCGAUAAUGAGCCGAAGCAUUGUACUUUGUCGUUGUCGAUAAUUCGAUAUACGAGUUGAAGUACUAUACUUUAUCGUUUGUCAUUUUAAAUGAGCCGAAGUAUUGCACCUGGACAUUCAUUGUAAAAAAUUGAUCUCGGGGAAUUAUCGUAACUGCUGUAUUGAUCAUUAACCUGGUUCUUGUAAAAUUCGUUAAGAGUUGAUUUAGGUUUUUCACCAAUACGUAUUCCAUUUCUGUUAAACUACCAAGAAUACUCCCAACUACACCCUUACAAUCAAACAAACUAUAAAAUCAUCAGAAGAUCCAGAAUAAUAAAGUGCAUGCUUAAUUAUCGGAAGAAGUAGAAUCAGGAAGUUUGUUAACUCAAUCCUGCAUGCUGAUUGUAAUUACAAUAGAUUGGAGCAAGGAUUGGAUCCAACACUGAAGGACUUCAAGAAGUGGCUUAUUUUAUUAAUUAAAUCAAAUUAAGAAAUAUUGUUUUAUUAAAAGCUACCUUUGUAAAACUUGGAAUUUAUUCCAUCCAUUUGAAUAAAAUCCGGUGU